GAAAAAGAAAAUUGAAACAGGAAAAAGAAAAAGUUUCCUUUCCUCGUUGGAAUUGCUAGAGAGAGAGGCAAUCAUAAGUUAAAGAAAGAACGUUUAUAUCUAACAAAACCAGUUCAACUAGCCGAGGGAUCUCUCCCUCUCUCACCUACGCACAGAGAGAGCAAUGGCUUCCUCUCCCUCUUUACUCUUUGCGGCCGCCGUAAUCACCCUCACUUUGCUCUUCGCAUAUUCCGUCAAAUUACCAUUUCACCCUCGGGACGUCCUCCCUAUCUUGCCCAGACAGGUUUCAUGGCCAAUCCUCAACUCUCUGCACAGUGCGGUCGAUCUCUUGCCCACUUUCGUGGGGUCAGCUUCGUCCCCAAAAGACAGUUUGGAGUGGAAAGGUGCGUGCUUUUACCAGAACACAGCUUGGAUGGAGUUCCACAACAAGCGUGGCAGCGAAUUUGGUGGCGGAACUCUUCAUAUCAAGGUCUAGACGAACUGAAAUUUCUUGUUCUGUUGGCCUGUUUUCUUUCAUUUUCGAACUGGGUUUGUGCAAAUUUUGAGUUUUGAGUAUGUGGGUUAAUGGGAAUUAAAUUAUGUUAAACUUGUUUCAGUGACCUUAUAUUUCUUCUGCUCGGUUUUCAGCUGGGUUUGUGUAACUUUUUUAAGUUUUGGUCAUUAGGAUACUCAGAUUAAUUUUCUCUUCAAAAAUUGUCGAUAAAUUUGAAGGUUUUAUUGGCUAGUUUGAUUAUGAUGGUCUAUACGAGGGUUGGUUUUCAGUUUGUUUCUAGGUGAUUUAGCGGAAAUUGGAGGUUUGUGGGAUUGGAGUUGUGGAAUUUACUUGCUGUUUGACUGCUGGAUAUUAAGUUGUUAAUUACAUUUCCGGUUUGAGCCUCUCUGGGGUUUCUUUUGAUUGUUCUGUGGAUUUUAUGAUCCAAAACAUAUCGUUUUGGCUUAAUUUUCUAGAAUAUAUGUUUCAUUAAUGUUGUACUUAUGAAUUUGAACCUCUUGUUUUUGGUUGAUCCCUGUAAAAAAUAAAAUACCUAAUUAUGGCUAUUUGUGAUCUUACAUUUACAUUAGAUACUGAGUUCCUAUGCUUAGAAAAUCUGGGCCAUUCAUCAGAGUUUUCGUACUCUUAUUACAAUAUUUUAAAAUUGUAUCUAUGUUUGUAUCCAGGUUAAUAAGGCUCAAAGUUGGACAUGUAUGGAUAUUUAUGUCUUUGCGACUCCAUACACUGUCACUUGGGAUUACUAUUUCCUGUCUGGGGAGCAUACACUUGAGUUUAAAGAGUGGCAAGGAAAAGCCGAGUUUGAAUAUGUAAGUUACCACUUUCUAGUAUUCAGAUAUUACUUGAUAUUCCAAUUUCCUUUUAAAGGAAAAUUUGGGUUUAAUUUUGUCUUUAAUGUUACCCAAUCAGGUGAAAAGCAGGGGAGUUUCUAUUUUCCUCAUGCAAGCAGGGAUGCUAGGCACCUUUCAAGCAUUGUGGGAUGUCUUUCCCUUGUUUACAAAUACUGAAUGGGGUGAGAACUCUAAUAUUGGGUUUCUUAAGAAGCACAUGGGUGCUUCCUUUGAUCAACGUCCUCAACCUUGGGUCACAAAUAUUAGCGUAGAUGAUAUUCACUCUGGAGAUUUCCUAGCAAUAUCUAAGAUUCGUGGGUGGUGGGGUGGAUUUGAAACACUAGCGAAGUGGGUCAGUGGAGCUUAUGCUGGUCAUUCUGCUGUUUGUUUAAGGGAUUAUGAAGGAAAUCUUUGGGUUGGUGAAUCAGGAUAUGAAAACGAGAAGGUGAGCUGCAAAGUUUGUAAAAUACUAUACGGUAUUGUACAUUUGGUUUGGAGGUUCUGUUUUGCUUGUGUGUGAUUUGCAUGGAAACUUUUUUUGUUUUUUUGUUUUUUAACAAUUUACUUCCAGUUUUCUGUAUGGUCAGGCAGCAUUGCCAGGUCAAAGAGUAUUAAUUUUAAUUAUUAUUAAAUUAGGAUAAGUGAUGCUAUAACUAUGUCUUUUGCCUUUUGGCUUUGGUUCGAUUGGCAAUGCUGGGAUGAGAUGGGUCCUAAGCACCAACGAAUAUGAAACAACAUUAAAUUCUCUAUUUCUCUCUAUUUCUCUCUCUCUAUCUCUCUCUCUCUCUCUCUCUCUCUCUCUCUCUCUCUCUCUCUCUCUCUCUCUCUCUCUCUAUAUAUAUAUAUAUAUAUAUGUUUUUAUGUGUAUAUAUAUGUAUGUCUUUAUUUGUAUAUGCCUAUGUAUAUAAUAAAAUAUGUUGUGCUUUUUUCCUUUCGUGUUCUAGGGAGAAAGUAUCAUUGCUGUGCUGCCAUGGGAUGAGUGGUGGGAGUUUGAGCUGAAUAAAGAUGAUUCCAAUCCCCAUAUUGCAUUGCUUCCCUUGCAUCCUGAUAUACGAGCAAAGUUUAGUGAGACUGCUGCCUGGGAGUAUGCAAGGAGCAUGGAAGGCCAGUCAUUUGGUUAUCAUAACGUGAUAUUCAGCUGGAUAGAUACUAUAAAAGACAACUAUCCACCCCCUGUGGAUGCUCACAUGGUAUCAUGUUAUUAGUACAUUUAAGAUUUCUAUAUCAGACUGUUUACAGUAUUAGUAAAUCUAAAUUAAUUUCCUUAUUUUUUUUCUUUUGGUAUGAUGAUUUAGUUAGUAUUGAACUUGGUGGUUUCCAUUAUCUGUUUGGAUUGAGGCCUGGGUUCUAUAGAGGACUUAAAAAACUACCUGUUAGGUGCUUUACCCCAAUUAUUUUCUUUAUGGUUUAUAACUUCUGGCUUUCAAACAACCACUUUAUAAACGUGUGGGUACAGAUUAAUUUGAAUCAAGGUGCUGAUGUAGAACAGCCCGUAGGUAUUAGAGUAAACACUUAAGCAAUAGAACAGAGAAGAAAUAAGAGAUCGAGGUGAAGAAAUAGAGAUCGUAGAGACGAAGGGAAAGGGAAGGAAUCAGAGAGUUUAAAGUGAGGAAAUUUAUCAUACAUCAAGUCUCCCUUAAAAGAUUACAAACAGCUCUAUUUAUAGAGGCAAAACCCUUUUUAGCCUAGGAAAAGGAAAAGUAAACUUUAAGAAAUAGGAAAGCAAAUUAACUAAUAAGAGAUCCUUCAACAAAAAGGAAUCCUUAACUGAAUUAGGAAAACUAAUCCAAGUAGAAUUAGGAAAACUAAUAAUAUGCAUUAUGCAUAAGGUGCCAUGCAGCUAAUAUAUGAUUGCUUCGUAGUGGCCUAAAAGGGUCCACAAUGGAUGAUGAUCAGUGGAUGUUUACAACUGGAAAAGAAGAUAGAAAGAAAUGUUUUCUUUAGUUUCAUAGUUAGAUUGGUUAGCCAACUAAGAGAAUAUAGUUAAGUCCUGCUAUCUCCCUCUCUCAGACAUGUCUUACGUGUGAAUGCUUCUAUGAGCUUGAUGAGGUUUUCUUAUUCAUUGGUCCUUAUUCUUAGCUCUAUGGUUAUGUAGGUUGCUUCUGUUAUGACAGUUUGGAAUAACAUACAGCCUGCAUAUGCUGCGAACAUGUGGAAUGAAGCCUUGAACAAGAGACUUGGAACACAGGUGUUGUGAAACGUUUUCCUUGCAUUGCAAUCCUGUGGCUAUCAUGGAACUCUCUCUUUAAAAAAUAUGUUUUAUUGCCACAAGGGCAUCAGAUUUUUGGAGUAAAUGAUAAAUCAGCAUUCCUUCAGUUAGAAAUAUCAACCGAUCAAGAUUUUUACUUUUGGUUAGAAGUUAAGCAAUUAGUCAAUAUCAUCUUUGAAAUUCAUUGUGCCAUUUUUAUCGUUCUGAGUUUCUGAUGUACCCUUUGUAUUUCAUGCAGAACCUUAGUCUUCCAGAGAUUCUAGUUGAAGUUGAAAAGAGAGGAUCAUCUUUUGACGAACUGCUGACACUUCCCGAACAGGAUUAUUGGCUAUACAGUGAUGGGAAGUCAACAUCGAGUGUGGCCUUCAUUCUUGAAAUGUAUAAACAGGCAGGACUGUUUGAUCCAAUUGCUAGCUCUAUCCAAGUCACUGAAUUUACGGUGAGUUUAUCCAGAACAAAAUUCAAUAUCUGUUUGCUUUAGGAUAAACGGGGCUGAGUUGAUGCUAGUUCUAGGGAGACACAAGAUCAAUGAUGACUGACCUCUUUUAUUCCCUUUUCAAUAAUAAUUGAUAUAAGAUUAUAGUUGAGCCUUUUUAAUUUUAAAUAAUAGAAAGUUUAGUGACAUUUGAAAAAGGAAAGGAAUUAGAUUGUUGAGGUUCAUGUAGCUUCCCAUUCAAAACGUUAUCCAUUGGGGUGCUAUGCAAAUUAGUUGUUUCAUAAGGAGUUUAUAUGUUCGUUCUCAUGUAUUUAACUUUAUUUGCCAUAAAUGCAGAUAAAAGAUGCUUACAUGCUGAAAUUCUUUGAAAAUAAUUCAUGCCGCCUGCCAAAGUGGUGCAAUGACGGGGACACCGUGAAGCUUCCUUUCUGUCAGAUUAAAGGGAAGUAUCGAAUGGAACUACCUGAAUACAACAGCAUGGAACCAUACUCCCAUAUGAAUGAAAGGUGCGAAUCACUGCCCCAAAAGUACUCCAGAUCACGGAAUUGCUAAGUCCUCAAUUCAUUGCUCUUACAAAUUUGUUAGGCCUAUGGUUGAUGUCAUACCAGUUUCUUCUGCUUUUAGUGUAGUUCUAUUGUUGGAUACAAAUGAAUGAAAGAUGGCGAAGCUGUAAAUAUUUUUGGUGGUCAGGUACGAAAGGAGGGCAGUGUUAGUGUUUCAAUUGUUGUACAAUGUGCAUGAUAAAAGGAAUAUGAAUUGUAAUGCAUGUCUUUCUUUUCCACAAUGUAUUUUUUUUCUUAUUCUUUUAUAAUGUCAUUCCAAAUUGAUUGAAGUGUUCCCUAGUCUCAGAAAGGAGUUGGGAACAACAUAUUAGUUUUUUUAUGUUCACAUAAAUCUCUCAGUUUUAUCUCUCACUCUAGGUUAUCUCACAAAUUGCUGGUUCGUCCUUACUACUCUAUCAAAGAUGCAAGUAUGACUUGUAAGUUGUGAUAUAAUGCAAACUGCAACCAUUUAUGUUAACAAGAUAUUUUUUGUAUGCGUGUAUACAUUUGACAAAACAAAAGACAAGUGUCGAGUCGAGUAAGGUGGCCCAAGUUCAGG
Molecule: long non-coding RNA, 5066 nt
Filed under: Prunus dulcis (almond)
Lineage: Eukaryota; Viridiplantae; Streptophyta; Magnoliopsida; Rosales; Rosaceae
Description: sRNA ncRNA
Source: RNAcentral